This 360-nucleotide long non-coding RNA is filed under the name Fragaria vesca (wild strawberry). RNAcentral describes it as "long non-coding RNA (FVES_LNC001867)". The record is from RNAcentral. Lineage: Eukaryota; Viridiplantae; Streptophyta; Magnoliopsida; Rosales; Rosaceae.
UCACAAAAGAGGUGAUUUCAUAUCACAAAAGAUGUUACAACAGUUGCAUGCAUCUUCAUAACGGGGCUACAUUAAAGUGGUCAUGGUUGCUACUUGCUAGUCACAUAUUACAUCUACAUCGGAGCUGUUGUAGCAGCAUGCUAUCAUACAUUGUUGCUCUGAUUGACUAAAAAUAGCAGCAAAGUUACAUAAUACAUCUUUGUCCGAGUCAUUGUAGCAGUAAGCUAUAAUACAUAGCGCUCUGAUUGCUCAAAAAUAUAUGUUGGAGUGUGAUCUGAAGGAUUACAUUCGGCUUAUUUCCUAUAAUACAUAUGUUUCUGUUGAGCAAACAUGCAAAAAAACAGUUAGACCGCUGCAACA